This is a long non-coding RNA of Gasterosteus aculeatus aculeatus (three-spined stickleback), 1980 nucleotides long. NCBI's taxonomy places the organism in Eukaryota, Metazoa, Chordata, Actinopteri, Perciformes, Gasterosteidae. The record is from Ensembl.
GGAGGGGGGCAGCUGGCAACACAGAUGUGAUGGAUUGUUUUGGUGCUCCUUAAGGACUACGGAAAAACAGACAUGUCACUUUUCCCACACUAAAAAUGCAGCCUCUCGAGGAUGAAAUUGAACUUGUUCCAAUCCCUCUGCAGACCUUAUUACAGCGGAGAGGUUAUAGUCAGUUCUUUAAUUUCCCUCCCCACAGGAAAUGGUCUGUGCCACACAAGCUAGAACAGGUUCUCUGUUAACAGAUUUGGCGAUCGCCUCUACAGAGCUGUGGUUUCCAGUCAAUGAGGUCAGAGGCGUCUGUUUACUCAAAGAACGCCAUUACUGAUGCAGCACAAGUGGACAGAUUUGUUCUUAUCAAAUAAGUUGUGCAGGCGGUCAAAUCGUCCAGUCAGUGUGCAAAGAAGGUUCUCUUCAGCCAGAGACAAAGAUGUCUGCACAGCACAGCCAGCAUUUGGUUAGUUUCAGAACACAAGAAAGCUCACAUGAGCAUUUCCUUCUGGAGUAGCUACAGAAUUGCAACCUUUUCAAAAUAAAACUUUUCCCUUCACCCUUUACUUUUGAAGGAUGUGCCUAAGUGCACAAUCAGCAGCUGCUGUGAUGGAAACUAAAAGAGAGCAAAGCAUGCUUGAGAGGGGUUAAAAAAAUAAAAGUAAAAAACUAGCCAAAUGUGUCGGAGAGCCCAGGGUGGAUUUAUGACAAUCCGUGUAAAACCACAAGGACACAAAGUCAGUAUACAUUUUUAUUCUGCGUAUUUAACAAGCUUGUGCAUUCCAGAUUCUUACAAAAAGACACUGCUCGCCAUGAGAGCAUGCACACAGUGGCCAGACGGUUUACAAAUGAUUGGGCAAGUGUUCCAUGACACGUCCCCCAAACACCACACGUGAAGAUGCAUCCACAGCAACAGAUUAGCAGGAACCCAUGCCGACAAGCCACACUCCCUCACUGUGCAGAGGGUCAUCGGCCGAGCGGCUUGGCAGACAUGUUUUUAAGUACCGCAGUUGGAAUACACAGAGUGACAGAAGAGUAGUAAGGCUUGUGGAAUGUACAAUGCACAGCGCUUCAUUAUGAAGUCUUCUCCUGGUCGAUGGCUGGAAGAGAAGAAGACGUUAGUGUCACUGGAAGGUUGGCAGACACGGCAGAAUCAAAAGGGGGUUACAGCAGGUACAUCACAUACUUUCUUUGGUAGGCAGGGUGUUUUUCUCCUGGGUUUCGGUCUUCUUCAGCUUGGUCUUGUCGAAGUUGGCGACUUCCGAGACGUCAGGUUUGUCAGCCAUUUCUGCAGAAGGUUCUAAAAACGAGACAUGGGAACCCGAAUGAGUGGCCCUUCAAUUUAAAAAAAAAAAAAAAAAAAAAAUACUGGCAGCUGUUCACCGAUCAGAAUAAAGAGCUCGAAAAUAAAAACCGUCCCAUCUACCUGCAAAUAUACCAAAAAUGUACCUUUAAUGUGAAAAAACACGCCUCGUGUGCGAGUGUUGAAGAUGCUUUAGCCAGACAGUGAACGCGUGAGGCUGAGGAGGACACCGCCCUUCAAUGCGAUCCAGACGUGCGCUGCUUUCACUAGACGACCCCCCCCACACACACACACGCACGCACAUCCCCCCACCUCCUGAACAAAAACCCGGCUAAGAAAAAGAGUCGCAUGGGUAGUCCAAACGAACGAGUCGGGAGACAAACACCCAAGCGCGAGACGGUUUUGUUUGAGACACCCUUUCACCCCAAAUACGCGCAGUUACCUCUGCAGCGCCGCUUUGAGGAGCUCGCGCCAUCGGGAGAUUUUUCCAAUUAACUCCGGCGGCUUUUAGAAGACACCUCGAGCAGCUCGCGGGGAGCCUAGACCGCGCGAGCGAAAGGCUCCCCCUCAAACAAUCAUCGGUAAAAGGUUGAAUAAAAAACAAAUCAUGACGCCGGAAGCGCACUCACCUGGUUUUGCGCUGUAGUGACGAAGCGAUGCGCGUCUCGUGGGCACAGGAGCGGAGUGAU